UGGGGAAUAUUGGACAAUGGGCGCAAGCCUGAUCCAGCCAUGCCGCGUGAGUGACGAAGGCCUUAGGGUUGUAAAGCUCUUUUGGCGGGGACGAUAGUGACGGUACCCGCAGAAUAAGCUCCGGCUAACUUCGUGCCAGCAGCCGCGGUAAUACGAAGGGAGCUAGCGUUGUUCGGAAUCACUGGGCGUAAAGCGCACGUAGGCGGAUUAUUAAGUCAGGGGUGAAAUCCCGGGGCUCAACCUCGGAACUGCCUCUGAUACUGAUAGUCUCGAGUCCGGAAGAGGUGGGUGGAAUUCCUAGUGUAGAGGUGAAAUUCGUAGAUAUUAGGAAGAACACCGGUGGCGAAGGCGGCCCACUGGUCCGGUACUGACGCUGAGGUGCGAAAGCGUGGGGAGCAAACAGGAUUAGAUACCCACGUAGUCCCUGAGCGGGCUGGCAAGGCGCAU
This 447-nucleotide ribosomal RNA is filed under the name uncultured bacterium. Its description in RNAcentral is "bacterial SSU rRNA". It matches the Rfam family "Bacterial small subunit ribosomal RNA", at positions 355 to 825 of the family's 1533-position model. The record is from RNAcentral.